GCGAGAGUGGCGGAAUAGGCAGACGCGCACGGUUGAGGGCCGUGUCCCCGCAAGGGGGUGGGGGUUCAAGUCCCCCCUCUCGCA
This 84-nucleotide transfer RNA is filed under the name Actinomycetota bacterium. RNAcentral's name for it is "tRNA-Leu". It matches the Rfam family "tRNA". Rfam says of the family: Transfer RNA (tRNA) molecules are approximately 80 nucleotides in length. Lineage: Bacteria; Bacillati; Actinomycetota. The record is from RNAcentral.